AGUGUAGGCGGUCAAGCAAGUCAGGGGUGAAAGGCAUCGGCUCAACCGAUGUAAGCCUUUGAAACUGUUUGACUUGAGUGCAGGAGAGGUAAGUGGAAUUCCUAGUGUAGCGGUGAGAUGCGUAGAUAUUAGGAGGAACACCAGUGGCGAAGGCGACUUACUGGACUGUAACUGACGCUGAGGCUCGAAAGCGUGGGGAGCGAACA
RNAcentral lists this ribosomal RNA (206 nucleotides) under uncultured bacterium. RNAcentral's name for it is "partial 16S ribosomal RNA". It matches the Rfam family "Bacterial small subunit ribosomal RNA", at positions 568 to 774 of the family's 1533-position model. The record is from RNAcentral.